AUUGAACGCUGGCGGCAUGCUUUACACAUGCAAGUCGAACGGCAGCGCGGGGGCAACCCUGGCGGCGAGUGGCGAACGGGUGAGUAAUGUAUCGGAACGUAUCCUGUAAUGGGGAGUAACCAGUCGAAAGAUUGGGUAAUACCGCAUACGCACGAGAGUGGAAAGUAAGGGGAUCGCAAGACCUUACGUUAUAGGAGCGGCCGAUAUCUGAUUAGCUAGUUGGUGGGGUAAAGGCCUACCAAGGCGACGAUCAGUAGCUGGUCUGAGAGGAUGAUCAGCCACACUGGGACUGAGACACGGCCCAGACUCCUACGGGAGGCAGCAGUGGGGAAUUUUGGACAAUGGGCGAAAGCCUGAUCCAGCCAUGCCGCGUGCGGGAAGAAAGGCCUCGGUUGGUAAACCGAC
RNAcentral lists this ribosomal RNA (405 nucleotides) under uncultured bacterium. RNAcentral describes it as "bacterial SSU rRNA". It matches the Rfam family "Bacterial small subunit ribosomal RNA", at positions 30 to 434 of the family's 1533-position model. The record is from RNAcentral.